GAUGAAGAACGCAGUGAAAUGCGAUAAGUAAUGUGAAUUGCAGAAUUCAGUGAAUCAUCGAAUCUUUGAACGCACAUUGCGCCCGCCAGUAUUCUGGCGGGCAUGCCUGUUCGAGCGUCAUUUCAACCAUCAAGCCCCCGGCUUGUGUUGGGGACCCUGCGGCUGCCCGCAGGCCCUGAAAACCAGUGGCGGGCUCGCUGUCACUCCGAGCGUAGUAGCAUAUAUCUCGCUCAGGGCGUGCUGCGGGUUCCGGCCGUUAAAAGCCUUUUUUUUUUACCCAAGGUUGACCUCGGAUCAGGUAGGAAGACCCGCUGAACUUAAGCAUAUCAAUAAGCGGAGGA
Molecule: unclassified non-coding RNA, 341 nt
Filed under: soil metagenome
Description: partial contains 5.8S ribosomal RNA, internal transcribed spacer 2, and large subunit ribosomal RNA
Rfam family: 5.8S ribosomal RNA (bases 1-120)
Source: RNAcentral